Molecule: ribosomal RNA, 253 nt
Filed under: uncultured bacterium
Lineage: Bacteria
Description: partial 16S ribosomal RNA
Rfam family: Bacterial small subunit ribosomal RNA
Source: RNAcentral
UACGUAGGGGGCAAGCGUUGUUCGGAAUUACUGGGCGUAAAGCGCACGUAGGCGGCUAUUCAAGUCAGAGGUGAAAGCCCGGGGCUCAACCCCGGAACUGCCUUUGAAACUAGAUAGCUAGAAUCUUGGAGAGGUCAGUGGAAUUCCGAGUGUAGAGGUGAAAUUCGUAGAUAUUCGGAAGAACACCAGUGGCGAAGGCGACUGACUGGACAAGUAUUGACGCUGAGGUGCGAAAGCGUGGGGAGCAAACAGG